RNAcentral lists this ribosomal RNA (657 nucleotides) under Lactiplantibacillus plantarum. RNAcentral describes it as "bacterial SSU rRNA". It matches the Rfam family "Bacterial small subunit ribosomal RNA", at positions 66 to 689 of the family's 1533-position model. Lineage: Bacteria; Bacillati; Bacillota; Bacilli; Lactobacillales; Lactobacillaceae. The record is from RNAcentral.
ACGACUCUGGUAUUGAUUGGUGCUUGCAUCAUGAUUUACAUUUGAGUGAGUGGCGAACUGGUGAGUAACACGUGGGAAACCUGCCCAGAAGCGGGGGAUAACACCUGGAAACAGAUGCUAAUACCGCAUAACAACUUGGACCGCAUGGUCCGAGUUUGAAAGAUGGCUUCGGCUAUCACUUUUGGAUGGUCCCGCGGCGUAUUAGCUAGAUGGUGGGGUAACGGCUCACCAUGGCAAUGAUACGUAGCCGACCUGAGAGGGUAAUCGGCCACAUUGGGACUGAGACACGGCCCAAACUCCUACGGGAGGCAGCAGUAGGGAAUCUUCCACAAUGGACGAAAGUCUGAUGGAGCAACGCCGCGUGAGUGAAGAAGGGUUUCGGCUCGUAAAACUCUGUUGUUAAAGAAGAACAUAUCUGAGAGUAACUGUUCAGGUAUUGACGGUAUUUAACCAGAAAGCCACGGCUAACUACGUGCCAGCAGCCGCGGUAAUACGUAGGUGGCAAGCGUUGUCCGGAUUUAUUGGGCGUAAAGCGAGCGCAGGCGGUUUUUUAAGUCUGAUGUGAAAGCCUUCGGCUCAACCGAAGAAGUGCAUCGGAAACUGGGAAACUUGAGUGCAGAAGAGGACAGUGGAACUCCAUGUGUAGCGGUGAAAUGC